UGCCAAUGGGCCCUGCUGCUUUGGUAUGUUUCUUUUUCCUGUGUUGGCAUUUAUAAUUUAGAUUACAAAGAUGGGGUUUAAUAUAAUUUUCAUGAAAUUAAACUUGUUUCUUUGUUGAAUUAUUGAAUUUGUAUGAAUGGAUGGAUUACUUGAUGAUAAUAUUAAAUGCUUUAAGUUCUCUUUAUCAUUCAGCGUUUUUCUGUGCUGUGCACCAUGCCAUCAUUAGCAGAAAUGCAAGGUCAUACUCAUACACAUGUACAUGUGUGUUUUUCACUAUGUUUUCAAGAAAGAAUCGGAAGAAACCCCCCCAA
Molecule: unclassified non-coding RNA, 311 nt
Filed under: Hevea brasiliensis (rubber tree)
Lineage: Eukaryota; Viridiplantae; Streptophyta; Magnoliopsida; Malpighiales; Euphorbiaceae
Source: RNAcentral